Molecule: small RNA, 68 nt
Filed under: Acididesulfobacillus acetoxydans
Lineage: Bacteria; Bacillati; Bacillota; Clostridia; Eubacteriales; Peptococcaceae
Description: Peptococcaceae bacterium INE non-coding RNA
Source: RNAcentral
GUUUCAAUUCCUCAUAGGCAGGCUAUCGGCUAUUUCUCGGUAACAGACUUUUCUGUGGCCAAGAUCGG